GCGGCAGGCCUACACAUGCAAGUCGAGCGGAAACGACACUAACAAUCCUUCGGGUGCGUUAAUGGGCGUCGAGCGGCGGACGGGUGAGUAAUGCCUAGGAAAUUGCCUUGAUGUGGGGGAUAACCAUUGGAAACGAUGGCUAAUACCGCAUAAUGCCUACGGGCCAAAGAGGGGGACCUUCGGGCCUCUCGCGUCAAGAUAUGCCUAGGUGGGAUUAGCUAGUUGGUGAGGUAAUGGCUCACCAAGGCGACGAUCCCUAGCUGGUCUGAGAGGAUGAUCAGCCACACUGGAACUGAGACACGGUCCAGACUCCUACGGGAGGCAGCAGUGGGGAAUAUUGCACAAUGGGCGAAAGCCUGAUGCAGCCAUGCCGCGUGUAUGAAGAAGGCCUUCGGGUUGUAAAGUACUUUCAGUUGUGAGGAAGGGGGUAGCGUUAAUAGCGCUAUCUCUUGACGUUAGCAACAGAAGAAGCACCGGCUAACUCCGUGCCAGCAGCCGCGGUAAUACGGAGGGUGCGAGCGUUAAUCGGAAUUACUGGGCGUAAAGCGCAUGCAGGUGGUUCAUUAAGUCAGAUGUGAAAGCCCGGGGCUCAACCUCGGAACUGCAUUUGAAACUGGUGAACUAGAGUACUGUAGAGGGGGGUAGAAUUUCAGGUGUAGCGGUGAAAUGCGUAGAGAUCUGAAGGAAUACCAGUGGCGAAGGCGGCCCCCUGGACAGAUACUGACACUCAGAUGCGAAAGCGUGGGGAGCAAACAGGAU
This 759-nucleotide ribosomal RNA is filed under the name Vibrio sp. UOH-18. RNAcentral's name for it is "bacterial SSU rRNA". It matches the Rfam family "Bacterial small subunit ribosomal RNA", at positions 39 to 778 of the family's 1533-position model. The record is from RNAcentral. Lineage: Bacteria; Pseudomonadati; Pseudomonadota; Gammaproteobacteria; Vibrionales; Vibrionaceae.